Molecule: long non-coding RNA, 1606 nt
Organism: Folsomia candida
Lineage: Eukaryota; Metazoa; Arthropoda; Collembola; Entomobryomorpha; Isotomidae
Exons: 2
Source: RefSeq, a predicted model, not a curated record
UCCAACCAUCAUUCAGCAAGCACAUUUGCAUAAAUACGUAGAAGCACCUUGUGAUUUAGGGAAAUUACAAAUAUUUAUAACUCCCGACGAAAAAGAAUGAAAAUGUCUUAAUUCUUAUGUGAAGAGUGUAAAAUUAUUUAAACCCAAACGCAAUAAAUCGUCGCAUCCCAACUUAGAUUACACAGACAAGACUCGAAAAGAGCAAAUUAAUGGAAUUAAGAGGUUUGGAUAAUCUUAUCGAUAGUACAACUUGACACUGAAUGCCGUUCUAUAAAUUUUGAAUUCAAGUCGACUGCAACUGCAAUUCAAAACGACAAGGUCAUAAAUCUGAAUAGAAAUAAAAUGAAAACAACUCCAUUUGAUGACUCUUCUUCAUUCGAAAUCUGUAAGAAUACAAUUAGAAUGAAAGUCAAAGGUUUCAUCUUCUCAGAUUGGACAUUUUAAAUGUAGAUGGAAGAAAUAAGCUUAUAAACUGGAUUUGCAACCCAGUAGUUUGUUGUUAUAUCGCGCUGGCGUUUUGAUAAUUUGGAACCAGAAGUUAGAGAGCGUAUGUAUGUACAUACAUUCACCUGUAGCUUUAUCCUGCUCCUCAUUAGGUUUCACAACAAUUCUCUUCAACGCACAACACUUUGGAGGUACUGCAUCUUCAGGUGACAACUAAAAGUACUUACACAUACACAUGGCUGCGGACGUUGGACACACAAUUUCUUAUCCUGCAACAUAUGCAUCGUAAAAAGUGAGGUUGUGAGAUCCACAAUAAGUCAGCGUCUUGUUUUUAAUAUGGCAAAACAAGACCAGAGAUCAUUAUCCCUGAAACACUUUUGCGCAAGUAUUUAUACUACAAGUUCGUCUACCCCUAUGAUUUGAUCACUACUGGUUAAGUGUAUAAUUAAUAGAGACCCCAAAUAUUAACCUUUUUGCUAAAUUAUGCACCAAAUAUGUUGAAACUCUACAAUGUUUUUUACAUGUUAUGUUAAUUUAGGGUUCAGCUAAUAACCGUGCAUAUGUAUUACUUGUCCCAAGUUUGAAAUAUUUUAGACGGCAUAAUUGAAGUUUAGGCCUUCGAUUUACAAUUAAGUCCAAUGUUGCUGCAUAUAUAUUUUGUUAUUGGAGUAUAAAUGCAAAACCUAUUGAUGACAAUAGGAUCACUGCUGUUCAAAGUUGUCUUAAACUAGGUUGACAAAAGGCAAGGAGUGCAUACAAAUUUUUAUCAUGAGAAUAUCAAUAUUUUUAGCAUUAUUAGUGUUUCUUCUCCACAUUUGUGUCAAUCAGUCUGUCCCAUUUAAAGGACUUCUGAAAAAAGACGGUGGAAGCUAUGGUGGGGGUGGAUCUUAUGGUGCUAGUAGGGAGGGCAGCUAUGGGGGGAAGGGCGGAAGUUAUGGUGGUGGGGGGAAGGGGGGCAAAGGAGGUAAAAGUGGGAUCAAAUCCAUCAUAUCCGAAAUUAAGAAUUUGAAAAAGCGGCUGAAACAGGAAUUAUUCUCGAAAAAUAAAGGGAGUAAAGGUUCAUCUUCUAAUUACUAAAGUCUAUAAUUUAAAAAAUUUGUACUUGUAUAUAUCUCAACUUAAUUUGCCAGUAAAUAAACACAGUGUAAGGCGAAACUCGAAA